Molecule: ribosomal RNA, 470 nt
Filed under: uncultured bacterium
Lineage: Bacteria
Description: SSU rRNA
Rfam family: Bacterial small subunit ribosomal RNA
Source: RNAcentral
AGGACGAACGCUGGCGGCGUGCUUAACACAUGCAAGUCGAGCGGAAAGGCCCUUCGGGGUACUCGAGCGGCGAACGGGUGAGUAACACGUGAGCAACCUGCCCUUAGCUCCGGGAUAGCUCCGGGAAACCGGAAUUAAUACCGGAUACGACCACGGCCGACAUCUGCUGUGGUGGAAAGGAUUCCGGCUAAGGAUGGGCUCGCGGCCUAUCAGCUAGUUGGUGGAGUAACGGCCCACCAAGGCGACGACGGGUAGCCGGCCUGAGAGGGCGACCGGCCACACUGGGACUGAGACACGGCCCAGACUCCUACGGGAGGCAGCAGUGGGGAAUAUUGCGCAAUGGGCGAAAGCCUGACGCAGCGACGCCGCGUGGGGGAUGAAGGCCUUCGGGGUGUAAAGGCUCUUUCGGCAGGGACGAUUAUGACGGUACCUGCAGAAGCAGCUGCGGCUAACUACGUGCCAGCAGCCGC